This is a long non-coding RNA of Corapipo altera (White-ruffed manakin), 235 nucleotides long. RefSeq lists it as uncharacterized. The transcript is spliced from 2 exons. Lineage: Eukaryota; Metazoa; Chordata; Aves; Passeriformes; Pipridae. The record is from RefSeq and is a predicted model, not a curated record.
CAAGAAUACAACCAAUAGGAUCACAGAAUCAUAUAAUGCUUUGGAUCAGAAAGGACCUUCAAAGUGUGAAAAGGUAGGAGGAAUUCAAAUUGGAAUGGGGUCAGCAUAUCAAGGGAUGAGCUUCAUGACCACCACCACCACUGGCAAGAACCUGUCUGUGGUCAGGCACAUGCCCCUGUCCCCAGCAUGACACUCCAAAUUGCUUGCUCAAUACGAGAGAGCUGAGCAGCACUUA